UGGGGAAUAUUGCACAAUGGGGGAAACCCUGAUGCAGCGACGCCGCGUGAGUGAAGAAGUAAUUCGUUAUGUAAAGCUCUAUCAGCAGGGAAGAAAAAGGCAUACAUGCCUUAAUGACGGUACCUGAAUAAGAAGCCCCGGCUAACUACGUGCCAGCAGCCGCGGUAAUACGUAGGGGGCAAGUGUUAUCCGGAUUUACUGGGUGUAAAGGGAGCGUAGACGGCAGUGCAAGUCUGGAGUGAAAGGCGGGGGCUCAACCCCCGGACUGCUCUGGAAACUGUACAGCUGGAGUGCAGGAGAGGUAAGUGGAAUUCCUAGUGUAGCGGUGAAAUGCGUAGAUAUUAGGAGGAACACCAGUGGCGAAGGCGGCUUACUGGACUGUAACUGACGUUGAGGCUCGAAAGCGUGGGGAGCAAACAGG
RNAcentral lists this ribosomal RNA (421 nucleotides) under Lachnospiraceae bacterium. RNAcentral's name for it is "bacterial SSU rRNA". It matches the Rfam family "Bacterial small subunit ribosomal RNA", at positions 355 to 776 of the family's 1533-position model. Lineage: Bacteria; Bacillati; Bacillota; Clostridia; Lachnospirales; Lachnospiraceae. The record is from RNAcentral.